This 396-nucleotide ribosomal RNA is filed under the name uncultured bacterium. Its description in RNAcentral is "bacterial SSU rRNA". It matches the Rfam family "Bacterial small subunit ribosomal RNA", at positions 28 to 429 of the family's 1533-position model. The record is from RNAcentral.
GACGAACGCUGGCGGCGUGCUUAACACAUGCAAGUCGAGCGGUAAGGCCCUUUCGGGGGUACACGAGCGGCGAACGGGUGAGUAACACGUGGGUGACCUGCCCUCAGCUCUGGGAUAAGCCUGGGAAACCGGGUCUAAUACUGGAUAUGACUCCAUGACGCAUGUUGUGGGGUGAAAGCCUUGUGCGGCUGAGGAUGGGCCCGCGGCCUAUCAGCUUGUUGGUGGGGUGANGGCCUACCAAGGCGACGACGGGUAGCCGGCCUGAGAGGGCGACCGGCCACACUGGGACUGAGACACGGCCCAGACUCCUACGGGAGGCAGCAGUGGGGAAUCUUGCGCAAUGGGCGAAAGCCUGACGCAGCGACGCCGCGUGAGGGAUGACGGCCUCGGUGUAAC